This 1225-nucleotide long non-coding RNA is filed under the name Pan troglodytes (chimpanzee). RNAcentral's name for it is "long non-coding RNA NONPTRT007973". Lineage: Eukaryota; Metazoa; Chordata; Mammalia; Primates; Hominidae. The record is from RNAcentral.
UGGUUGUCAUUGUGUGUCUGUGUGUGGUUGUGUAACUGUCAUCGUGUGGCUGCAUGACUGGGAUUGUGUGGCUUCGGGAGGUCCGCGGGUGUGUGUGUGUGUGUGUGUCACUGUCAUUGUGCGGCUGUCGUGGGUAUCACUCUGAUGGUUUGUGUGUGUGUGUGUCUGGCUAUGCUGUGACUGCCAUUGGCCCCCCGUGUGGCUGCUGUCUCUGUGUGUGACUGUCUUGGUGUUCGUGUGGUUGUGUGCAUAGGACUGUCAUUGUGUGGCUGCUGUUGUGUGUUCAUUCUGAUGGUGUGUAUGUGUGUGUGGCUGUGGUCGUGCACUGUGCACCUUUCUUGUGUGGCAUUGUGAGUCUGUGUCAUGGUCCAUGGAUGUGGCCAUGUGGUUGUAGAUGGCACCGUGUCUCUCCCCUGUGACUGUCGGUGUGAAUAAGAGACUGUUAGUGUGUGUGUGGCUGUCACUGAGUGCCUUGUAAUUGGGGGUGUGACGCUGUGAUGGGUUCUGUGACCCCCAUUGUGUGCGGUGACUCUUUUCUGUGACUCUUAAGUGUGUUGCAGGCCUGACUGUGUGUCCCUGACUGUAGCGGCGUGGGGGCUUGUGUGGGACUGUGAUGUGUGUAGGGUCUCCUGACAUGUCUCUCUCUGUUUGGCCUGGGGUGGGGGUGGGGACUUGUUUGAUCUGUUUGGUGUCUCCGACAGGCUAUGAGCCCACUGUGUGUGAGUAUGCAGUGACAUGUGUUGUGUGUGUUGGACACCUGUCUGAACAAGGGGGCCCCUCUUGUUUACUGCAAAGUGGCGCCCAGCACAGCGCCUGGAAGUCGGCAGGUGCUCGGUCUUCACUGUGGAAUGGGUGAACGCUAUGCCAUGGUUGUGUGUGUGUGUGUGUGUGUGUGUGUGUGUGUGUGGUGCCAGGAUGGAGGCUGCGGCUGGGUUGUGCUUCCUAAAGGUGACAGCAUGGGUGACUCUGGGUAUCUAGGACCUCUGGCAACCAUCACCCCAUAUCACACUGCAGAAUGAGUGUCGUGGUUGGGGUGCUGGACCCAGAGUGCCUACCCUCGCCUGCCUGGGCCUCAGUUUCCACAUCUGCACAAUGGGGGUGACCAUCCCUGCCCUGCUGGCUGCCAGGAGCGGCUGUGAGUCUUCAGGCGUGGAUGCAGCCUGGGGGAAGCCAUAGGGCGCUUUCACAGGCCUGGCCUUCACCAUGGCGGGAGGGAGACCGCAUC